GAUGAACGCUGGCGGCGUGCCUAAUACAUGCAAGUCGAGCGAAUGUAUUAAGAGCUUGCUCUUAUGAAGUUAGCGGCGGACGGGUGAGUAACACGUGGGUAACCUGCCCAUAAGACUGGGAUAACUGCGGGAAACCGGGGCUAAUACCGGAUAACAUUUUGAACAGCAUGGUUCGAAAUUGAAAGGCCGCUUCGGCUUUCACUUAACGAUGGAACCGAGUCGCAUUCGCUAGUUGGUGAGGUAACGGCUCACCAAGGUAACGAUGCGUAGCCGACCUGAGAGGGUGAGCGGCCACACUGGGACUGAGACACGGCCCAGACUCCUACGGGAGGCAGCAGUAGGGAAUCUUCCGCAAUGGACGAAAGUCUGACGGAGCAACGCCACGUGAGUGAUGAAGGCUUUCGGGUCGUAAAACUCUGUUGUUAGGGAAGAACAAGUGCUAGUUGAAUAAGCUGGCACCUUGACGGUACCUAACCAGAAGGCCACGGCUAACUACGUGCCAGCCGCCGCAGUAA
Molecule: ribosomal RNA, 515 nt
Filed under: uncultured bacterium
Lineage: Bacteria
Description: partial 16S ribosomal RNA
Rfam family: Bacterial small subunit ribosomal RNA
Source: RNAcentral